GAUGAACGCUAGCGAUAGGCUUAACACAUGCAAGUCGAGGGGCAGCAUGGUCUUAGCUUGCUAAGACUGAUGGCGACCGGCGCACGGGUGCGUAACGCGUAUGCAACUUGCCUCACAGAGGGGGAUAACCCGUCGAAAGACGGACUAAUACCGCGUACACUCCAUCUUGGGCAUCCAAGGUAGAGGAAAUGAAAUUCGCUGUGAGAUAGGCAUGCGUCCCAUUAGCUAGUUGGUGAGGUAACGGCUCACCAAGGCGACGAUGGGUAGGGGAACUGAGAGGUUGAACCCCCACACUGGUACUGAGACACGGACCAGACACCUACGGGAGGCAGCAGUGAGGAAUAUUGGUCAAUGGGCGAGAGCCUGAACCAGCCAAGUCGCGUGAAGGAUGACUGUCUUAUGGAUUGUAAACUUCUUUUAUACGGGAAUAACAAGAGUCACGUGUGACUCCCUGCAUGUACCGUAUGAAUAAGCAUCGGCUAACCCCGUG
This 490-nucleotide ribosomal RNA is filed under the name uncultured bacterium. Its description in RNAcentral is "partial 16S ribosomal RNA". It matches the Rfam family "Bacterial small subunit ribosomal RNA", at positions 28 to 507 of the family's 1533-position model. The record is from RNAcentral.